AUACGGAGGAUGCGAGCGUUAUCCGGAUUUAUUGGGUUUAAAGGGUGCGUAGGCGGCCUUGUAAGUCAGCGGUGAAAUUUUGCAGCUUAACUGUAAAAGUGCCGUUGAUACUGUGAGGCUAGGAUUUGGUUGCUGUGGGUGGAAUGUGUGGUGUAGCGGUGAAAUGCUUAGAGAUCACACAGAAUAUCGAUUGCGAAGGCAGCUCACAAAGCCAAGAUUGACGCUGAGGCACGAAAGUGUGGGGAUCAAACAGGAUUAGAUACCCUGGUAGUCCACACUGUAAACGAUGAUAACUCGCUGUCGGCGAUAUACAGCCGGUGGCCAAGCGAAAGCGAUAAGUUAUCCACCUGGGGAGUACGACCGCAAGGUUGAAACUCAAAGGAAUUGACGGGG
Molecule: ribosomal RNA, 393 nt
Filed under: uncultured bacterium
Lineage: Bacteria
Description: partial 16S ribosomal RNA
Rfam family: Bacterial small subunit ribosomal RNA
Source: RNAcentral